RNAcentral lists this ribosomal RNA (484 nucleotides) under uncultured bacterium. RNAcentral describes it as "partial 16S ribosomal RNA". It matches the Rfam family "Bacterial small subunit ribosomal RNA", at positions 30 to 507 of the family's 1533-position model. The record is from RNAcentral.
AUUGAACGCUGGCGGCAGGCCUAACACAUGCAAGUCGAGCGGCUGAAGGGAGCUUGCUCCUGGAUCCAGCGGCGGACGGGUGAGUAAUGCCUAGGAAUCUGCCUGGUAGUGGGGGAUAACGCCCGGAAACGGGCGCUAAUACCGCAUACGUCCUGAGGGAGAAAGUGGGGGAUCUUCGGACCUCACGCUAUCAGAGGGGCCGAGGUCGGAUUAGCUAGUUGGUGGGGUAAAGGCCUACCAAGGCGACGAUCCGUAACUGGUCUGAGAGGACGAUCAGUCACACUGGAACUGAGACACGGUCCAGACUCCUACGGGAGGCAGCAGUGGGGAAUAUUGGACAAUGGGCGAAAGCCUGAUCCAGCCAUGCCGCGUGUGUGAUGAAGGUCUUCGGAUUGUAAAGCACUUUAAGUGGGAAGGAAGAGCAGUGAGUUAAUACCUCGCUGUGUUGACGUUACCAACAGAAUAAGCACCGGCUAACUUCGUG